GAGGGUGUAGCUCAGUGGUAGAGUGUGUGCUUAGCAUGCACGAGCUCCUGGGUUCAAUCCCCUGUACCUCCA
RNAcentral lists this transfer RNA (72 nucleotides) under Camelus bactrianus (Bactrian camel). It matches the Rfam family "tRNA". Rfam says of the family: Transfer RNA (tRNA) molecules are approximately 80 nucleotides in length. Their secondary structure includes four short double-helical elements and three loops (D, anti-codon, and T loops). Lineage: Eukaryota; Metazoa; Chordata; Mammalia; Artiodactyla; Camelidae. The record is from Rfam by way of RNAcentral. RNAcentral also lists the same sequence under 2 other names.